AAAACUGAGGGUUAAGACGGUUCCAUAAUUUGCCCAUGGUCACAGAGAUAGGAGGGGGUCAGGCUGCGGCUUGAAUCCAGAUUAUAUAACUCUACAACCCACACGAGUAAUUGUUUCUCUGCAUUGCUUCUAGGAAGGACCAGAUGGAGGCUUGUUGCCAGCUCCGGGUAAAACAUCGUCUCUGGCCCAGGCAGACAAGGUCGCUGGACAUUGUCUGAAUUCUAACUGCUGAGAAGGAAGUAGAAGGAGGCGAAGCCCAAGGGGACACUGAAGGCUGUCCUUGUGAUUAAAAUGAACCCAUGAAUGGCCCCAUUUUGGAGCUCAGCCCUGCACCAGCCACUUUCAUAUGCCAUGCCACUUACUCCAAACUUCUGGACUUGAUGCUAUUUUUCCAUGUCAUACAUCAGGAAAAUGAGAAGUAAGAAGUUAAAGCAAUUAAUGUGGUGGCCUAAGCUAUGGUUCAGAUCUACUGAAAAUCCAAGCUUUCAACAUGAGAUACAAAAAGGUGCCCUUCCACUCUGGGCCCCACGCUACUGAAGGCAAUAUGUACCGGUGAGAGCCUAGAGGCACAAGAGAUACUUUACUAAUAAAGUGCUUCCUGAGCUAGACACGCUUAUUUGGCUGAAGUCUUUUCUUAUGAAAACAAAGAGCCAACCUGAAGACAGAGCCCUGCCCACUCGAGAAACAACCAGGGGAGAGACUGUGCCCCUCCAACACAUCCUGCCCAGGGCCUGUGGAUGGCCUGCUCUUGGAAUGAAGAUGGACACGAUGCAAUUUCAAAGUGAAUAAAAACAUUAAAAUGUGA
Long non-coding RNA from Leopardus geoffroyi (Geoffroy's cat), 805 nucleotides. RefSeq lists it as uncharacterized. NCBI's taxonomy places the organism in Eukaryota, Metazoa, Chordata, Mammalia, Carnivora, Felidae. The record is from RefSeq and is a predicted model, not a curated record. The transcript is spliced from 3 exons.